AUUGAACGCUGGCGGCAGGCCUAACACAUGCAAGUCGAACGAUUGGCGGACGGGUGAGUAAUGUCUGGGAAACUGCCCGAUGGGGGGGGAUAACUACUGGAACCGGUAGCUAAUACCGCAUACCCUCGGAUGUGCCCAGAUGGGAUUAGCUAGUAGGUGGGGUAACGGCUCACCUAGGCGACGAUCCCUAGCUGGUCUGCGAGGAUGACCAGCCACACGGGAACGGAGACACGGUCCAGACUCCUACGGUAGGCAGCAGUGGGGAAUAUUGCACAAGGGGCGCAAGCCUGAUGCAGCCAGGCCGCGUGUAUGAAGAAGGCCUUCGGGUUGUAAAGUACUUUCAGCGGGGAGGCGUUACUCGCAGAAGAAGCACCGGCUAACUCCGUGCCAGCAGCCGCGGUAAUAC
RNAcentral lists this ribosomal RNA (406 nucleotides) under uncultured bacterium. Its description in RNAcentral is "partial 16S ribosomal RNA". It matches the Rfam family "Bacterial small subunit ribosomal RNA", at positions 30 to 526 of the family's 1533-position model. The record is from RNAcentral.